AUACGUAGGGGGCAAGCGUUACCCGGAUUUACUGGGUGUAAAGGGAGCGUAGACGGAAGGCCAAGUCUGAUGUGAAAGCCCGCGGCUCAACUGCGGGCCUGCAUUGGAAACUGGUCAUCUGGAGUGCAGGAGGGGUAAGCGGAAUUCCUAGUGUAGCGGUGAAAUGCGUAGAUAUUAGGAGGAACACCGGUGGCGAAGGCGGCUUACUGGCCUGUAACUGACGUUGAGGCUCGAAUGCGUGGGGAGCAAACAGGAUUAGAUUCCCUGGUAGUCCACGCCGUAAACGAUGAAUACUAGGUGUAGGGUUUCUAUAGAGAUUCGGUGCCGCAGCAAACGCAAUAAGUAUUCCACCUGGGGAGUACGUUCGCAAGAAUGAAACUCAAAUGAAUUGACGGGG
Molecule: ribosomal RNA, 397 nt
Filed under: uncultured bacterium
Lineage: Bacteria
Description: partial 16S ribosomal RNA
Rfam family: Bacterial small subunit ribosomal RNA
Source: RNAcentral